This is a long non-coding RNA of Homo sapiens (human), 1757 nucleotides long. Ensembl annotates it as long intergenic non-protein coding RNA 2185. The record is from Ensembl. NCBI's taxonomy places the organism in Eukaryota, Metazoa, Chordata, Mammalia, Primates, Hominidae.
AAGAAAUAUUUUGGAGAAGUUAGAUAGGGUAGAGGCAGAAGUAGACGCAAUUAAACAUGAAGGAUUGUGAAGGCAAAAGAUGAACCAGCCAGCCUAGUCUCUGGAUGCAUAAGCUCCAAGUGUGGAGGAGACCCGGAGAGAAAAGCAGACUGUUCUCUGUGUUUACCUGUAAGCACAGGCCGCAACCUGCCAUGCUGUUUUUAAAUGCCCAAGAGCUGGUGACAAGAGGGUUUCCCUUUGCCAUCUGGACCUGAUUGCCUUAGAGGCUUGGGGAGGAGGGGAGAGAGAGGAAGCUUCAAGAGUGUCUUUGUGGUUGCUGGUUGACCAGUAUAAACGGUAUUUACACAUUUAGAGUGGCAGACUCACCAGUACGUGAGAGAAUUGUCGAUGAUGCAGGCAACUUACAUGAAAUGUACCCCUCCAGCAUUCAACGCAGCAGAAUCACCUAGUAGAAGUUAUUCUCUUUCUAAUUUGUUUUCAGUUGUUUUAAUUUCAUCGAGUCUCAAGUUGGUGCUAGCCUAGGUCAUUAACACCUCCCGGACACUUGCUAACCUUGCCUUUUUUUUUUUUCCCGGACGGAGUCUUGCUCUGUCACCCAGGCUGGAGUGCAGUGGCAUCAUCUCGGCUCACUGCAACCUCCGCCUCCUGGAUUCAAGCGAUUCUCCUGCCUCAGCCUCCCAAGUAGCUGGGAUUACAGGCACCCCCAACUUUGGCCAAUUAAUUUUGGUAUUUUUAGUAGAGACAGGGUUUCACCAUGUUGGCCAGGCUGGUCUUGAACUCCUGACCUCAGGUGAUCCACCCAUCUCAGCCUCCCAAAGUACUGGGAUUACAGGUAUGAGCCACCAUGCCUGGCCUAAUCUUGCCUUUUAGCAACCAUGACAGCACCAGUCUUCAGGCUUACAGCGAGCGAGAGCAACCAGCUAUCUUUUAAUCAUAGUAUUGCUUUUGGUUGUAUUUAUUUUCUACAGACCAUGAGAGGGGCUUUUUGUUAUGGCUGGUUCUUUUUAGAGGAAAGACAAAUAAUGAAUCAGUAAUAAUUGAGUUGGAACAAGGAUACAGUGCCUCAUGGCAGAGGCCUGAAAAAGAGCCCAGAUUUCCAGCUCCUAUUCAGCGAAGUGGGUUCCCCAGGUGGCAGGCUGCAGAUCAAGCUUGGGGAAGGUUCUGGUCUGAGGUCAGUGGGUCCAGCUGGUCAGCAGAUGGCAACGAGGGAACUUUGGAUGAGAGUUGUUGUCGGAGCCCGCCGGCCUGGUUUUGCAGCCUGCUUGAAGCCCGUCUCUUCCCUGGGAUGACAGAAGCCAGUUCAUCAGUGUUCACCGUGGGACACGAGGCUGAGGAGAGUGGGUGGCUGCUGAAGUCACCUUUGCUUCUGGCGGCCAAACCUGAUUUUGCUCUGGGCGAUCAUUGUUCACUACUCUCAGAUCUGGGUUUGAGCAGACUGGACCCACCUCGGGCCAUCCGCGCUUGUCUUCGUUGCUUUGGGUACGGUGAUGGGUUCUAGAUGGGUAGUGAGAUGCAAAGAGGCUUUUUCUGGGAAUGCUGGGGCUGGAUCUUUCCCACUGGCUUUGAACCCAAGAAGGGGAGAUGCCAGAACCCCUGUAUCCCCUAUGAGGAGGGCGCUCACAGCAGAUAAUGGAGCCGAGAAACCCAAUCCUGAUGGUAUCGGUUCCAUCCUGGAUCCAGCUGUGCCCGAAGCUAGGCUCUACCCUUGGCCGCCUUUGGAGCUACCCACCAAGCCAAUAAAUUCCCCUUUCAUGUAA